RNAcentral lists this ribosomal RNA (447 nucleotides) under uncultured bacterium. RNAcentral's name for it is "bacterial SSU rRNA". It matches the Rfam family "Bacterial small subunit ribosomal RNA", at positions 355 to 825 of the family's 1533-position model. The record is from RNAcentral.
UGGGGAAUCUUGGACAAUGGGCGCAAGCCUGAUCCAGCCAUGCCACGUGAGUGAAGAAGGCCUUCGGGUUGUAAAGCUCUUUUACCAGGGACGAUAAUGACGGUACCUGGAGAAUAAGCCCCGGCAAACUUCGUGCCAGCAGCCGCGGUAAUACGAAGGGGGCUAGCGUUGUUCGGAAUUACUGGGCGUAAAGCGCACGUAGGCGGAUUGUUAAGUCAGAGGUGAAAUCCCGGAGCUCAACUUCGGAACUGCCUUUGAUACUGGCAAUCUAGAGUCCGGAAGAGGUUAGUGGAAUUCCCAGUGUAGAGGUGAAAUUCGUAGAUAUUGGGAAGAACACCAGUGGCGAAGGCGGCUAACUGGUCCGGUACUGACGCUGAGGUGCGAAAGCGUGGGGAGCAAACAGGAUUAGAUACCCCCGUAGUCCCUGAGCGGGCUGGCAAGGCGCAU